RNAcentral lists this ribosomal RNA (253 nucleotides) under uncultured bacterium. RNAcentral's name for it is "partial 16S ribosomal RNA". It matches the Rfam family "Bacterial small subunit ribosomal RNA", at positions 524 to 776 of the family's 1533-position model. The record is from RNAcentral.
UACGUAGGUGACCAGCGUUGUCCGGAUUUACUGGGCGUAAAGAGCGCGCAGGCGGUCGUUCAAGUCGAGUGUGAAAGCCCCCGGCUCAACUGGGGAGGGUCAUUCGAUACUGAUCGACUUGAAGGCAGGAGAGGGAAGUGGAAUUCCCGGUGUAGUGGUGAAAUGCGUAGAUAUCGGGAGGAACACCAGUGGCGAAGGCGGGUCUCUGGACAGUUCCUGACACUGAGACACGAAGGCCAGGGGAGCAAACGGG